CAGUACUUAAUAAUCUGCAGACAUAAAAUCACCAGGAGAUACCAUAUUUAAUAUGGAAUUUAUCAAUACAAAAAUGUUUGACUGAAAGUUUUCAGGUUUCCUGAACAAGUUGUUUUCCUCUUUUUAUACUUUUCCUACUUUUAUAAUUUUAUAUUUUUCUCUACUUUAGCAACUCUAUUUCUUUAGAUUCUUUGUAUUACUUGAUAAAUGUUUGCUAACACUUUUUGAUUCAACUUUGCUUUUUAAUUGUGAAAUGCUGGUAGAUAGAGAGACAUAUAUAUAUAUACACAAAGAUAACUCAGAUUAAUAAAAUGAAUCUAUCUUGCAAAACAGCUGAAUAGCCAGACUCACAAUCAUUAGUAGCAACCUUUUGCCUUUAUAUCUUCUUUCACUUCUUUCACCUUUUGCCUUUUAUCUUCUUUCACUCCUAAAAAAGGAUCCAUUAUAUAUACCAUGGCCUGGUAUAAAUGCCUCUCAGAACUUCUGCUCAAAAAUUGUCAAAAUAGAUGGGGAAGUGAAUCCCAGAACUCUGGAUCUGCUACCAAGAAUCUGCAAAUACAAAGUCACUGCAGUGAUCAAAAUGAACACCUGCCAGGACUGGAAUCCAAGAAGAUAAAUAACCAUUGCUUCAACCCAUGCUUCCUCACUGCUCGCCCAGCACACAUCAACCCUGAAGUUGUCCUGUGCUUAUGAAAGGGUGAGGGGGAUAAUAACAGAAGAUUGUUAUCAGAAGAUAGUAACAGAAAAUAAUAACUGGAGAUAAUAACUGAAGAUGUCAUGGAGAUUUAUCCAGGAUGUGUAGAGGGUCUUUUGCAUGUGAGAAACUGGUUGGGACAGGAGAGCUAGAGGAGACCCAGUGCUCGCUUUUAUAGAUGUUCUAGACUGAUUUUUAGAAUAUUUGGUUAAUUGAGGAAAAUAGUAGAAGUGAUUUUGGUUUUCACUAAACUACACUCUAUUGUAAAAAUCUCAUUAUUACUAGCUGUUCUUCCAUUCUAAGUUGGGGUAUGUAACUUACCUCCUACCUCAAAGAAAGAGUAUUGAGCUCUGAUCCUACAUGCCUGCUUUCUAGUUUCAAUUCAGCUGCCAACUGUGUGACCUAAGAUGACAAGGCCAACAUGUAAGGCUGUUACCACCUCUGCACAAAGAGUAUGUGACACUUUUCUUGCUUGCCUUGGGCAAUUUUCAUGAGAACAUAAAUAUACUAGGAAAAAAU
RNAcentral lists this long non-coding RNA (1213 nucleotides) under Chinchilla lanigera (long-tailed chinchilla). RNAcentral describes it as "lncRNA (ENSCLAG00000025721.1)". Lineage: Eukaryota; Metazoa; Chordata; Mammalia; Rodentia; Chinchillidae. The record is from RNAcentral.